UUUUUUGUGAAAUCUAUUAUAGCCUAUUUGUUUAAGUAACUAAAUUUCUAGCCUCUCUUAUGGUGUAGAUAAUACUUUGUUCUGCUGUGAAGCUUUUCCGUAAGGGAAAGAAGGAUACAACGAUUGGAGAGUUAAACAAAUUCUAUAUUGAUGUUUGCAAAUCUACUAAGAUACCACCCGUCGGGAUAAUGGAACUUUCAUGCAUGUGUAGAGUGCUUGGUGAUCAGGGAAUCCUCAAACUUAAACAAUCUCGAGAUGAUAAGUUAAGGAGAGUAACUCUGCAGGUAGAUGAAGCAGACAUCAUGUUUGCAUUGCAGGGCAUCCGGUUCUUUCGAAACUGUCUGCAGUAAAUUUUGACCACCUAGAGUCGUGAUAUCUUAAAGCUGGCAGUGAAGACUGAACCUUGUUCAACCUAAAUGUAAAGGUUAGAAGUAGAGCCUUUUCAACUUACAUCUCAUAAGCUUCAGAUGUGACGUGCUUGUAUACCAAAGUUUCAAACUUAUAUUUGUCUGCGGUGCAAUGAAACAAGGCAGCAAAGCUCAGCAAUAUUUACAUAGAUUCUUCAAUUUUCUGGUUAUAUAGAAUUUAGUACUUGUAAUGUUAUACAAAGAAGCAAAGUAGUACAUAACAAUUGGAAUUUUGAUUGAAGUUAUAAAGCUAUGUGAAUCAAUUUUCUCUGCAUAA
This is a long non-coding RNA of Erigeron canadensis, 684 nucleotides long. RefSeq lists it as uncharacterized. NCBI's taxonomy places the organism in Eukaryota, Viridiplantae, Streptophyta, Magnoliopsida, Asterales, Asteraceae. The record is from RefSeq and is a predicted model, not a curated record. The transcript has 4 exons.